AAAUCAGUGAGGGCUGCCAACUGGCCCCUCAGCUCACGGACCUCGCCGGAUCCGGAGGUAGCGGAGGUCUCAGCCUCGUCAAAUUGUGCCGCAUUGUCCGCCCCCGCUGAUUGAGAGCGCGUAAUCGGCAUUGUCACUACAAAACAUAAAAGCGCAAGUUAGUAACCCGCGCUAUCGAAUCCACGCUCAAAUAACAAUACCAAAAUCAUGCGAAAGUAAGGAAGUGUUAUCCACAACUAACUCCCGAUGUUACGUUGUCGGCCGCCAACGUAACCCUCCGCGAAGUUAGAAGUCAUACACUCCGAUUAAACUCUAACUUUUUAGAGUUGUCAUAAAACCCAAUCAUAAUACUUUCGCUCACAAGUCAAAUAGACCUCGUCUCUCACGAGCCUAUUUCCUAUAGUCCAACCGGCCUAAGGUUUGCUAGGUCCUCUAAGACUCAACCCUAGGCUCUGAUACCAAUUUAAUCUGUCACGCCCCGGGACCGGCAGAGGCCCUCUCGGUAGCGCGCCCAGACCCGCCAUAUGUCUACACAUAUAAGGCGUUUACAACAACAGUGGAAAUAAAGCAAGAGAUGAUUCGCAACUAAAAAUAUCAGAGCAAGUACACAACUAUAAACUAUGAUAAGAGUAGAUGGAACAACUAAGUAAUAAAGAGAAUACAUAAAGUUAUACAAUAACCAUCACCAAAAAGUACACAAAAUAGGUGGUCUCUAUUACACUGGUACAGCUCUCAACCUCUCCAAAAAGAAAA
RNAcentral lists this long non-coding RNA (753 nucleotides) under Ananas comosus (pineapple). RNAcentral's name for it is "long non-coding RNA (ACOM_LNC035115)". Lineage: Eukaryota; Viridiplantae; Streptophyta; Magnoliopsida; Poales; Bromeliaceae. The record is from RNAcentral.